This 253-nucleotide ribosomal RNA is filed under the name uncultured bacterium. Its description in RNAcentral is "partial 16S ribosomal RNA". It matches the Rfam family "Bacterial small subunit ribosomal RNA", at positions 524 to 776 of the family's 1533-position model. The record is from RNAcentral.
UACGUAGGGGGCAAGCGUUAUCCGGAUUUACUGGGUGUAAAGGGAGCGUAGACGGUCCUGCAAACCAGAUGUGAAAGCCCGGGGCUCAACCCCGGGACUGCAUUUGGAACUGUAAGGCUAGAGUGUCGGAGAGGCAGGCGGAAUUCCUAGUGUAGCGGUGAAAUGCGUAGAUAUUAGGAGGAACACCAGUGGCGAAGGCGGCCUGCUGGACGAUGACUGACGUUGAGGCUCGAAAGCGUGGGGAGCAAACAGG